AUUGAACGCUGGCGGCAGGCCUAACACAUGCCAGUCGAGCGAGCGGCGGACGGGUGAGUAAUGUCUGGGAAACUUCCUGAUGGAGGGGGAUAACUACUGGAAACGGUAGCUCAUACCCCAUACCAUCAGAUGUGCCCAGAUGGGAUUAGCUAGUAGGUGGGGUAACGGCUCACCUAGGCGCCGCUCCCUAGCUGGUCUGAGAGGAUGACCCACCACACUGGAACUGAGACACGGUCCAGACUCCUACGGGAGGCAGCAGUGGGGAUGAUUGCACAAUGGGCGCAAGCCUGAUGCAGCCAUGCCGCGUGUGUGAAGAAGGCCUUCGGGUUGUAAAGCACUUUCAGCGGGGAGGCGUUACCCGCAGAAGAAGCACCGGCUAACUCCGUGCCAGCAGCCGCGGUAAUAC
RNAcentral lists this ribosomal RNA (406 nucleotides) under uncultured bacterium. RNAcentral describes it as "partial 16S ribosomal RNA". It matches the Rfam family "Bacterial small subunit ribosomal RNA", at positions 30 to 526 of the family's 1533-position model. The record is from RNAcentral.